GGCCGCAUGGCGAAAUUCGGCAAACGCGCCAGUUUUGGGUACUGGUGGGCGCGUUCGCCCUUUCGGGUUCGACUCCCGGCGCGGCCA
This 87-nucleotide transfer RNA is filed under the name Phycisphaerae bacterium. RNAcentral's name for it is "tRNA-Pro". It matches the Rfam family "tRNA". From Rfam's summary of the family: Transfer RNA (tRNA) molecules are approximately 80 nucleotides in length. Their secondary structure includes four short double-helical elements and three loops (D, anti-codon, and T loops). Further hydrogen bonds mediate the characteristic L-shaped molecular structure. tRNAs have two regions of fundamental functional importance: the anti-codon, which is responsible for specific mRNA codon recognition, and the 3' end, to which the tRNAs corresponding amino acid is attached (by aminoacyl-tRNA synthetases). tRNAs cope with the degeneracy of the genetic code in two manners: having more than one tRNA (with a specific anti-codon) for a particular amino acid; and 'wobble' base-pairing, i.e. permitting non-standard base-pairing at the 3rd anti-codon position. Lineage: Bacteria; Pseudomonadati; Planctomycetota; Phycisphaerae. The record is from RNAcentral.